GCCUAACACAUGCAAGUCGAACGCGAAAGGUCUUCGGACUGAUUGAGUGGCGCACGGGUGAGUAACACGUAGGUAAUCUACCCUUUGGCGGGGGAUAACGUUCCGAAAGGGACGCUAAUACCGCAUAAGACCACGCGGUCUCCGGACUGUGUGGGAAAAGGUGGCCUCUUCUUGAAAGCUACCACCGGAGGAUGAGCCUGCGUCCCAUCAGCUAGUUGGUAAGGUAAUGGCUUACCAAGGCGAAGACGGNGUAGCUGGUUUGAGAGAAUGAUCAGCCACACCGGCACUGGAACACGGGCCAGACUCCUACGGGAGGCAGCAGUGAGGAAUAUUGGGCAAUGGGCGAAACGCUGACCCAGCCACGCCGCGUGAGUGAUGAAGGCCUUCGGGUCGUAAAGCUCUGUGGAGAGGGACGAAAACCCUGGUUUCAAAUAGGCUCCAGGCUUGACGGUACCUCUUUAGCAAGCACCGGCUAACUCUGUGCCAGCAGCCGCGGUAAUACAGAGGGUGCAAACGUUGCUCGGAUUUACUGGGCGUAAAGCGCGUGUAGGCGGGUUCGCAAGUCGGACGUGAAAUCCCUGGGCUCAACCCAGGAACUGCGUUCGAAACUGCGAAUCUAGAGUAGUGGAGAGGAAAGUAGAAUUCCCGGUGUAGAGGUGAAAUUCGUAGAUAUCGGGAGGAAUACCAGUGGCGAAGGCGGCUUUCUGGACACUUACUGACGCUGAGACGCGAAACGUGAGGGAGCAAACAGGAUUAGAUACCCUGGUAGUCCACGCUGUAAACGAUGUGUGCUAGGUGUCGCGGGAUUUGACUUCUGCGGUGCCGUAGUAACGCGUUAAGCACACCGCCUGGGGAGUACGGCCGCAAGGCUAAAACUCAAAGGAAUUGACGGGGGCCCGCACAAGCGGUGGAGCAUGUGGUUUAAUUCGACGCAACGCGCAGAACCUUACCCAGGCUAGAAAAGUAGAGAAGUCUGUAGAAAUACGGAUAUGCCUUUCGGGGAGCUCUAAUCCAGGUGCUGCAUGGCUGUCGUCAGCUCGUGUCGUGAGAUGUUGGGUUAAGUCCCGCAACGAGCGCAACCCUUGUCAUUAGUUGCUAACGGUUCGGCCGAGCACUCUAAUGAGACUGCCGGGGUUAACCCGGAGGAAGGUGGGGAUGACGUCAAGUCCUCAUGGCCCUUAUGUCUGGGGCUACACACGUGCUACAAUGGUCGGUACAAAGCGCAGCGAGCCCGCGAGGGGGAGCGAAUCGCAAAAAGCCGGCCUCAGUACGGAUUGCAGUCUGCAACUCGACUGCAUGAAGGCGGAAUCGCUAGUAAUCGUUGAUCAGCAGGCAACGGUGAAUACGUUCCCGGGCCAUUGUACACACCGCCCGUC
This 1376-nucleotide ribosomal RNA is filed under the name uncultured delta proteobacterium. Its description in RNAcentral is "16S ribosomal RNA". It matches the Rfam family "Bacterial small subunit ribosomal RNA", at positions 46 to 1398 of the family's 1533-position model. Lineage: Bacteria; Deltaproteobacteria. The record is from RNAcentral.